UUCCUCUUUUUCGUCUUUACUCAGGCUCCUCGCAGGGUUACUCAGGCUCCGGCCUCGCUAGAUCUAGCGAGCUCGAGCCUCACUAGAUCUAGUGAGCUUGAACCUUGCUUGGUUAGUUGCCUGCCAUUGUCGUGCUAGCUAUCCACUAAGGAAGGAGGAAGAAAAAAUGAAAUAUAAAAACUAACUUUAAUUUUGCUUUUUACAAAAAAAAAAAAAAAAACAUUUUGGGGUAAAAGAAAAUGUGAGGCUUGGGUUAAAAAUAGAUCUUUAAGUCCUAUCCAUUUACGACCCAUUUAACUAGUCUUUUCAAAAUGUAAGUGAUCUAUACAUGACCCAUUUAAAUCAUAAAUGGGUCAUAUAUGGGCUUAAGACUGAUUUUGACACCUCUACUUCAGCCCAACUUAUAACUAGACCCGGCUCCUCCUCAUUAUAAUCGGACGAACCACACUAUGGCCGCCCCUACGCUAGUGCUCGCUCGCUUCUCUCUUCGUGCUCGUUGCCAUUUCGAUGUUCGUUCCAGCGUUCGUGAAGUGGCCGUUCCUCGCUUGGACGAAAGAGGUGCCCCUACUUCUACUGUUGCUGCUCCAGCGUUCGUUGAACAGCCGUUCCUACGCUGUUGUCGACAAAACAUGCACCCCUGCUUCGACGCUCACUCACUUCUCUCUUCACACUCGUUGCUACUUCGUCGUUUGUCGAGCUGCCAUUCCUCCACCAUCGCCAACGAAUCACAUUAAGGCCGUAAUAAUUGUGAUUCGUCGACUGACUCGAGGAGGAGGGAGGACCGUUUCUUCCUGAGGCAGAGGGAGGGAAAAACGCCUUAAUUAUUGCCUAUGGUCGCAGAACAACUAAUGGUAAGGGAACUGAUGCGUGACGGGGGAUCGAGUACCUGAGAAAGGUGAAGGACAGCGGGUGUCGUACUUUGGGCGCAUGGGUGGUCGAGUGCUGCGGGGGGAUCGCCUCUCCAGCUCCGCUAGAGUGGCGGAUUCCGCUGCCAUAGAAGAUAGUACUNNNNNNNNNNNNNNNNNNNNNNNNNNNNNNNNNNNNNNNNNNNNNNNNNNNNNNNNNNNNNNNNNNNNNNNNNNNNNNNNNNNNNNNNNNNNNNNNNNNNUCUAGUUGCCAACUGGGAUUAUGCAUGACUAUUUUGAUUGAUCAGGGAUAGCGGAUACCGGAAGCACGGAGAUCAAGGAUAUCGACCUGUUUGAGAACAAGAUUACCAUCUUCUCGUGCUCCUUCCAAUUCUCCCAUGUUUUUAUGCAAUUCAAUGGGGUCGGCUAUAUUUAAAAAUCGUCAGAAAGGGUUAGAAUUACAUUAGCCCAAAUUUCGAAAAGUUUAUGACUCAAAUCACAAUUAUAUAGUAAAUUUAGAAAUUUCUUAACAGUUUUUCCAUCGGAGUGUCGAUACAUACCUUACGGGAGAGGAAAGAAAUCCACCAUAAAUUGGAAAAUUACAAAGUUGGAGUCACUUAAGUUUUUCCCAACCCCUCAUUAUAUCUCUGCCUCAGGAAGAAACAGCCCUUCUUCCUCCUCCAGUCGAUUGACAAAGCACAAGUAUUACAGCCUUAAUGUGCUUCAUUAGCAAUGGUAAGGGAACAGCUGCUUGACAAAUGACAGAGUAGCAAUGAGUGCAGAAAGCGAGUGGGCGCCGAAGCAGGGGCGCAUGGUUUGUUGAUGACAGCGGGGGGAUGGCCGCUCCACGAACGCCAUAGUAGCAAUGUGCGCGGUGAGAGAAGAGAGUAAGCACCGGAGCAGGGGCACCUCCUUCGUCGGCUCAGGCAGGGAACAUCCACUUCACGAAUGCCGGAACGAACGUUAGGAACGAACGUUAGAGUAGCAACAAGCACGAAAAGAGAAGUGAGCAAACGCCAGCGCAAGGGCGGCUGUAGUGUGGUUCAUCGGCAACAGCGGGGGUUUCAGCCGCUUGACACACGGCGGACAGUGACGAGCGCGAAGAGAAUUUGGGAUUCAAAAUUUUGAACACUUCAUGAGAAGAAAGAAAUGGGGUUUGCAGUUGCUGGAGUGGAACGAAAAUCGUCUGCUUCUCUUUCUUUCUUCCAUGCCAUAAUAAAUGCAUUGCACAUGAGAGAGAAUGUGUAGGCUGUGCAGGUGAGGGGGAGAAUGGACGUGCAUAGGCUAGGAGAGGGUAGGAAAACGCUAGGGAGAGGAGAAAGAAAGAAAAAAAUGCAGAAGACAGCAAGGGGGCCACUUUUCAACGUGGCACCGCGUGAGUGGUCAGGGACCAUGCUGACAUGGUGCUCCCAGACCACCCAAUAUUUUCUUGGACUUUUUGGAGAGCGUCUUCACCAAAAGACGUUUUCCCCUCCGAAUGAAGUCCUUCUCUACAGAACCAUCAAUGACGAGCUCGACGAAGACUCCACUACACAGAUUCACACCACAAUCUUUACCAGUCUAACGUCGAUACCUAAAGUCGCUGACCGUCACUAAAUAUUCUUCCUCAGCCACUACUCUGGCCAUGACCGAGCUAUUCCGAUAAAGAAAUUUCCAGCUCGAAAAUUUCACAAAGCAGCAUAGAAAACGCACAAAGGUAUACUAAAACAGUGGAGAAUGAACUGACUUGGCAGCAUCAAGCCACGGCCAUUGCCAGCGACGGAGGUUGAGAACAUCGACUCCAAACAUGUGGGUCCAUGGACAGCCCGCGCCGAAGAUUUGCAAAAGCGUGGCAUAAAACAAAGAGUAAAAACACAGAGUUAGAUUUAGUUCCAACAAUUAAUGAAGUGGACAUGAAUCAAUCUUGAAUCUAAACACAUGCUGUAAGCUAGACCAUUUUGCACAAAAAUUCGCAGCAGUGCAAAUAUGCGAAAGUUUAUCAACAUGAGGUGCAGAAAUCCCACCACAACACCAGACUCGCCGCAAAGCACACGACAUAAUUAACCACCCGCUCGCAGAUGGACGGCAUGAGUGCGCCGCCUAGGAGGCUAGUCCUAUCUACAAAUCAACUCAAAAGGCAAUCUUCUGCCAAAAUCGCAGCUAACGAAAGCGAAAACAUGCAGUAUCUGCACAUAUAACGACGCGAUCGAGCAUAUUAUAAACCUACAGUUAUUUUCAUUUCGAAGAAAAGCACUGCGAUUCAACAGGCAUCCUAGG
RNAcentral lists this long non-coding RNA (3101 nucleotides) under Eucalyptus grandis. RNAcentral describes it as "long non-coding RNA (EGRA_LNC007333)". The record is from RNAcentral. Lineage: Eukaryota; Viridiplantae; Streptophyta; Magnoliopsida; Myrtales; Myrtaceae.